UAGGUUCAGAUGUUCGCACACUGGA
Molecule: non-coding RNA, 25 nt
Filed under: Rattus norvegicus (Norway rat)
Lineage: Eukaryota; Metazoa; Chordata; Mammalia; Rodentia; Muridae
Source: RNAcentral